Molecule: non-coding RNA, 39 nt
Filed under: Mus musculus (house mouse)
Lineage: Eukaryota; Metazoa; Chordata; Mammalia; Rodentia; Muridae
Source: RNAcentral
UACACGGUAGCUGUCUUCAGACACACCAGAAGAGAGCAU